GAUGAACGCUGGCGGCGUGCCUAAUACAUGCAAGUCGAACGAAACUUCUUUAUCACCUGGUGCUUGCACUCACCGAUAGAGGGUUGAGUGGCGAACGGUUGGGUAACACGUGGGCAACCUGCGCUAAAGAGGGGGAUAACACUUGGAAACAGGUUCUAAUACCGCAUAACCAUAGUGACCGCAUGGUAACUAUUUAAAAGGUAGCAAUACUACCGCUUUUGGAUGGGCCAGCGGCGAGUGAGCUAGUUGGUCGAGUAAAGGCUUACGAAGGUAAUGAUGCGAAGCGGCAAUGAAAGGUAGAAUGGACAGAUUGGGACUGAGACACAGCACCAACUCUUACGGGAAGAAGCAGCAGGGACUCUUACAGGAUGCACGAAAGCGUGAUGGAGCACAACCGGGUAAGUGAAGAACGUCUUAGGAUGGUAAAACCCUGUAGUCAGAGAAGAAAGAGAGCGAGUGUACCUGUUAACGUUUCGACAGUACCUAAACAGAAAGCCACGGCUAACUCCGUG
RNAcentral lists this ribosomal RNA (512 nucleotides) under uncultured bacterium. RNAcentral describes it as "partial 16S ribosomal RNA". It matches the Rfam family "Bacterial small subunit ribosomal RNA", at positions 28 to 507 of the family's 1533-position model. The record is from RNAcentral.